Molecule: long non-coding RNA, 351 nt
Organism: Gallus gallus (chicken)
Lineage: Eukaryota; Metazoa; Chordata; Aves; Galliformes; Phasianidae
Source: Ensembl
GUGAGAGUAUCUUACUGGUGAUACCUGGAUAUCUGAGUCUUUCUGAAGGUACGAAAUGAUUCUUUGUAACUGACUGUAUUUUUACAGUGAAAACCUCUUACGGGACUGUGCAGCAUGAUGCAUUGGGCAAAAUGUAGACAACUGUAUAACCAGUCUUCAUCCAAUUACCCAUAGAAUACUUCACAGUCAUUUCAGCAAGCUGGGUCCUUUUGGAGAGUUCGAAUGAUAUCAGAUACCUAUUUUAGAAAGAACUGACUGCAAAAGGAGAUUGAUUUGCUGUCAUAGAUGAUUAUGCUGUUGUCAUCUAAAAGUGAGCUCUAGUAUGCUGUCAAUCUCCCCACAGAAAUCCCC